CCUACGGGUGGCUGCAGUCGAGAAUCAUUCACAAUGGGGGAAACCCUGAUGGUGCGACGCCGCGUGGGGGAAUGAAGGUCUUCGGAUUGUAAACCCCUGUCAUGUGGGAGCAAAUUAAAAAGAUAGUACCACAAGACGCCGAGACGGCUAAAUCUGUGCCCGCAGCCGCGGUAAUACAGAGGUCUCAAGCGUUGUUCGGAAUCACUGGGCGUAAAGCGUGCGUAGGCUGUUUAGUAAGUCGUGUGUGAAAGGCGCGGGCUCAACCCGCGGACGGCACAUGAUACUGCGAGACUAGAGUAAUGGAGGGGGAACCGGAAUUCGCGGUGUAGCAGGGAAAUGCGUAGAGAUCGAGAGGAACACUCGUGGCGAAGGCGGGUUGCGGGACAUUAACUGACGCUGAGGCACGAAGGCCAGGGGAGCGAAAGGGAUUAGAUACCCGGGUAGUC
RNAcentral lists this ribosomal RNA (446 nucleotides) under uncultured bacterium. RNAcentral describes it as "partial 16S ribosomal RNA". It matches the Rfam family "Bacterial small subunit ribosomal RNA", at positions 338 to 795 of the family's 1533-position model. The record is from RNAcentral.